RNAcentral lists this ribosomal RNA (168 nucleotides) under Erichsenia uncinata. RNAcentral describes it as "5.8S ribosomal RNA". It matches the Rfam family "5.8S ribosomal RNA". From Rfam's summary of the family: 5.8S ribosomal RNA (5.8S rRNA) is a component of the large subunit of the eukaryotic ribosome. It is transcribed by RNA polymerase I as part of the 45S precursor that also contains 18S and 28S rRNA. Functionally, it is thought that 5.8S rRNA may be involved in ribosome translocation. The record is from RNAcentral. Lineage: Eukaryota; Viridiplantae; Streptophyta; Magnoliopsida; Fabales; Fabaceae.
ACAUAAAAUGACUCUCGGCAACGGAUAUCUCGGCUCUUGCAUCGAUGAAGAACGUAGCGAAAUGCGAUACUUGGUGUGAAUUGCAGAAUCCCGUGAACCAUCGAGUCUUUGAACGCAAGUUGCGCCCGAAGCCAUUAGGCCGAGGGCACGCCUGCCUGGGUGUCACAC